Molecule: ribosomal RNA, 428 nt
Filed under: uncultured bacterium
Lineage: Bacteria
Description: bacterial SSU rRNA
Rfam family: Bacterial small subunit ribosomal RNA
Source: RNAcentral
UGGGGAAUAUUGGACAAUGGGCGAAAGCCUGAUCCAGCAAUACCGCGUGUGUGAAGAAGGCCUUAGGGUUGUAAAGCACUUUCAAUUGGGAGGAAAAAACAAGGAUUAAUACGCCUUGUCUUGACAUUACCUUUAGAAGAAGCACCGGCUAACUCCGUGCCAGCAGCCGCGGUAAUACGGAGGGUGCAAGCGUUAAUCGGAAUUACUGGGCGUAAAGAGUGCGUAGGCGGCUCGUUAAGUCAGAUGUGAAAGCCCUGGGCUCAACCUGGGAACUGCAUUUGAAACUGGCGAGCUAGAGUUGAGUAGAGGUAAGUGGAAUUUCAGGUGUAGCGGUGAAAUGCGUAGAUAUCUGAAGGAACACCAGUGGCGAAGGCGACUUACUGGACUCAAACUGACGCUGAGGUACGAAAGCGUGGGUAGCAAACAGG